UACGGAGGGGGGCUAGCGUUUGUUCGGAAUUACUGGGCGUAAAGCGCACGUAGGCGGCUUUUGUAAGUUAGAGGUGAAAGCCCAGGGCUUAACCCUGGAAUUGCCUUUAAGACUGCAUCGCUAGAAUCGUGGAGAGGUGAGUGGAAUUCCGAGUGUAGAGGUGAAAUUCGUAGAUAUUCGGAAGAACACCAGUGGCGAAGGCGACUCACUGGACACGUAUUGACGCUGAGGUGCGAAAAGCGUGGGGAGCAAACAGG
This 257-nucleotide ribosomal RNA is filed under the name uncultured bacterium. RNAcentral's name for it is "partial 16S ribosomal RNA". It matches the Rfam family "Bacterial small subunit ribosomal RNA", at positions 524 to 776 of the family's 1533-position model. The record is from RNAcentral.